UACGUAGGGUGCAAGCGUUAAUCGGAAUUACUGGGCGUAAAGCGUGCGCAGGCGGUUUUGUAAGUCUGUCGUGAAAGCCCCGGGCUCAACCUGGGAAUUGCGAUGGAGACUGCAAGGCUUGAAUCUGGCAGAGGGGGGUAGAAUUCCAUGUGUAGCAGUGAAAUGCGUAGAGAUGUGGAGGAACACCGAUGGCGAAGGCAGCCCCCUGGGUCAAGAUUGACGCUCAUGCACGAAAGCGUGGGGAGCAAACAGG
RNAcentral lists this ribosomal RNA (253 nucleotides) under uncultured bacterium. Its description in RNAcentral is "partial 16S ribosomal RNA". It matches the Rfam family "Bacterial small subunit ribosomal RNA", at positions 524 to 776 of the family's 1533-position model. The record is from RNAcentral.